ACCAGAGACGUUGCAGUGGCGUGAGCCAUGAGAUGUUUUUCAUUGCUCUCUCUUCAAUAUCUUUAAUUCAACUAAUUCCUUUUCUUGAUGAUUCUUCUCCACCCAAGGACAAAUGUGGCGUCGAACCUUCUCGAAACUCCACCUCAGAGCUUCGGGCUUAGGGUUUCUGAGACGAUCGUUCUCGUGCGAACCGGGGAAGAGGUUCGCGGCGUUAUGGGGAAACGGCGAUUACGGAAGAUUGGGUCUGGGAAACUUGGAUUCCCGAUGGACACCCGCUGUUUGCUCCGCGCUUCGCAACGAAACCCUUAAGGCCAUUGCUUGUGGCGGUGCUCACACCCUCUUCUUAACAGACAAUGGAUGCGUUUAUGCUGCUGGUCUCAAUGAUUUCGGACAGCUUGGUAUAUCAGAGAGUAAACACUACUCAGUGGAGCCACUUCGUGUUUUUGGACACGAGAAGAAAAUUGUGCAGAUCUCUGCUGGUUAUAAUCAUUCUUGUGCAAUUACAGUGGAUGGAGAACUAUACAUGUGGGGAAAAAAUACAAGUGGGCAGCUUGGACUUGGAAAAAGGGCUUCAAACAUAGUUCCUUUGCCAACCAAAGUGGAAUACUUGGAUGGAAUCAACAUUAAAAUGGCGGCUCUGGGUUCUGAGCACUCAAUGGCUAUUAGUGAUGGAGGAGAAGCCUUUAGUUGGGGAAUGGGAGUGUCUGGUAUACUUGGCCAUGGUCAUGAGUCAAGCAUCCUAGGAUUCUUCAAAAGUAACAGUGAGUAUACCCCAAGGCUUAUAAAAGAUCUUGAAGGAAUCAAGGUAAAAUAUGUAGCUGCUGGGUUACUGAAUUCAGCAUGUACUGAUGAAAAUGGUUCUGUUUUUAUAUUUGGUGAAAGAGGGAUUGACAAAUUGCGUUUAAAGGAGAUGAGCAAUGCAACAAAACCAUCCUUGAUUAGUGAACUCCCAUACUCAAAAGAAGUUGCUUGCGGUGGCUAUCACACCUGUGUACUGACAAAUUCUGGUGAACUUUAUACUUGGGGUUCAAAUGAAAAUGGCUGCCUUGGUAUUGGUUCAUCAGAUGUUAUUCAUCUUCCUGAAAAGGUUCAAGGGCCAUUCUUGAAGUCAUCUGUUAGCCAGGUUUCAUGUGGUUGGAAGCAUACUGCAGCCAUUUCUGGAAUGAGAUGGCGUGGACUAGAAGUUAAUAAUCAGUUUCUUGGCUCCUGGAGAAAAUCAUUUUUUCUUGUUUCCACUAUUUGUGGUGGCAUCAUCAGCAGCAACCUGCGAUAAUGUGAGGAAGGAAGAGUCUUCACAUGGGGCUGGGGAGGAUCCAAUGGGACUUUCUCUGAAGUUGGAUAUUCUUCAGGUGGACAAUUGGGUCAUGGAAGUGAUGUGGACCGUGUAAAUCCUACUAGAGUUUGUUUUGGAGAAGAAGUGAAAGCAUUGCAAGUUUCAUGUGGGUUCAAUCAUACAGGUGCUAUACUUGAACAUACAUAGGUUUGGCUGCUCCAAUGAUUCAUAAUGAUCGGUAUUUCAUCAAGAAGAUCCAGAAUGUGAUUUGUCACCCUGUGUAUCUUCUGUACAUCACCAUAUUAAAGAAAUAUACAUCUUCUAACCCAUCCAAGAGGAUUCAGGAAGUUUCAGCAUGCCUUGAGUGAAAACAUAUAUUAUCCAUCUGUUGUAAUUAUAUCAUUCUUUUCACAGGAAAAUAGACGCCCAGUCAUAUAUAUAUAUAUAUAUAAAAUAAAGCUUCCUUGUGAUGUACAAAACUUGUGUAAAGAAAGAGCGCUGCUUCAAGUAAUUAAAAAUGCGUGGGAAUGAUGGCAGGGAUAAGGAAAAAAAGUUGUGUGUCUGUUUUUCUUAUUGUAUUGGUUAGUUGAGUUAAUACCACUUUACAGAGUCUGUUCCUUGAGAGAAGUUAGCCAAGAUGGUUCAAGUAAAUCAUAGUUGGCGAUAUAUCUUGUUAAUCGUCAUUGCGUAUAGAUGUUUUUGCAGCAUUAUAAUUGAGGAGGCAUAUCUUUUACUAUAUGUAAUUUUGUGGAUGUUCUCACUGAUUUAUGUGGUUCUGCAAUUUGCCACA
Molecule: RNA transcript, 2063 nt
Organism: Abrus precatorius (Indian licorice)
Lineage: Eukaryota; Viridiplantae; Streptophyta; Magnoliopsida; Fabales; Fabaceae
Gene name: ultraviolet-B receptor UVR8
Exons: 15
Source: RefSeq, a predicted model, not a curated record